Long non-coding RNA from Cyprinus carpio (common carp), 1243 nucleotides. RefSeq lists it as uncharacterized. The transcript is spliced from 3 exons. The record is from RefSeq and is a predicted model, not a curated record. Lineage: Eukaryota; Metazoa; Chordata; Actinopteri; Cypriniformes; Cyprinidae.
UCCUUGUUAUCCUGUUAGCAUCUCUGUGUAUAAAUAGCCCAGUGUUUCAGUUAGUCUUUAGCUUUGUCCCAAACUGAAGUGUGAGGACUCUGGAGUGCACAUUUGAAGUGUGAUUGCAACACGACGUAAACUGUCCCAAUUCAGAAUGCACCCUCCAAAGACCACAUUCCAAGGCUGACUGUGUCACCAUGGUGCGACGAAGGCUGGUGUAUUUCAAAAGCAACUUCAAAUACACCCUCUGUUUCCCAGGAAAAUUAAAUGUACAUCAGAUGGACACAUUGCACCCUACCAUACCCUAGAAUCACCUGUGCACAGAUGAUGACGGUGUUUAUAUUCAAAGAUCAUGGAGGAUGACAGUUCUGUGGGGGAGUUCGCACUGAAAUGGGAAUGAAGAAUCCAAGAUCUGGGGCCCUGGGGCCCCAGAAAUGGUUAUGCACAGUCCUACUUUCUUCGGACUACUAAAGGUCACCCCGGGUCAAGAAAAGAAAACGAUGCAGUGCCAUAAUGUCCCCAUUAUAUCUGAUUCUGAUGAUAGUAGUAAUGUCAACACCAUAUCGUCUCAUAAUGUUUGUAUCAGUGAGGGCUGUCUUGGGCCGUGGUGAGCUACGGUGGGCCGACCGGGACCGGAUUCCAGGUGAGUGAGGUAAGUUUUAGUGAAGUGAAUGAAAUGAUUGUUAUUUUUGUGUGUUUGUUUUAUUUUGUUCCAGGGGUCAGCCACCGAUGGCCUUACUAGAGAGGGUUGUAAAUGGUCGGGGUGUACUGUAAAGGGCUGUCCACACCGGAUUUACAGGUGAGUGGGUUAGGUUUUAGUGCGGUAGAUGAUGUAGGGUUAUGAGAAAUAGGGCUUUAUGCCCCAGGGGUAUUUUAUGAGGGGUUACUUACGGGUAGGUGUUAGGGAUGAGGUGUGGGUGGUCGGGUUCGGGUUAGGUUAGGUAUAUAGAUAAAAACGAGUUCCAUCCUCAUUAAUUCCACCCUUAUUAGCAUAUGCGAUCUGAUUGGCCAAAGCUUACCUGGCCGUAUCUUUUGAAGCGGAGGUCCGAUGUGCACAUAACUGGUAUCGUUAGGGGAAUGAAACGUCCAAGGUUCAAACCUAAGGUCUGAACCUGGUUGUGCUCGGUCCAUCCGUCCACUGACCACUAAAGACCCAUCCAAGCCAGGCCAAGUUCACAAGCACGCAUCCCCUCUCAUCCUUACAUCUGAUUGUGGGCACGACCUCCCGAUCAAAAGCCUCCCAAUGUGACCC